UUUUCUUUGAUACCGAGGUGGCUUUUUUUCUUUUGCUGUUUGCAGUAACUUGCUAUUGCUGCUGCUACUGCUCCGUGCGUGGGUCUGGCCUAUGAGCUGUAACACUCACCCUGAAAGUGUGUAGUUUCGCUCUUGAAGCCAGUGAGGCCGGAAACCAACUGGGAAGAAGGAACAACUCCAGAUGUGCUGCUUUAAAGAGUUGUAAUGCUCACCGUGAAGGUCUGUAGUUUCAUUCCUGAGCCAGCAAGACCACGAACCCACCAGAAGGAAGAAACUCCGAAUGCAUCUGAAGGUCAGAAGGAACAAGCUCUGGAUACGCCGCCUUUAAGAACCCUGAGAUUCACCACGAGAGUCUGCGGCUUCGUUCUUGAAGUUAGUGAGACCAAAAACCCACCAAUUCUGGACACAUUGGGAUUAAAGGUGGCACCAUUGUUGAGGAAAAUAGCCCAGACUACAUAGAUUCUUGGCUGUCUGUAGGCAUGGCCGUCAGCAGCAAGACUGCUCACAGCUUGCAGAUGCCAGCAAGUUACCUAACCUGAAAGAACUUCUCCAGUCCUCCGGAGACAACCACAAACGGGCCUGGGACCUGGUGAGCUGGAUUUUAUCCUCAAAGGUCCUGACAAUCCACAGUGCAGGGAAGGCAGAGUUUGAAAAGAUCCAAAAGCUGACUGGGGCUCCUCACACGCCUGUUCCUGCACCGGACUUCCUGUUUGAAAUUGAGUACUUUGACCCAGCCAACGCCAAAUUUUAUGAGACCAAAGGAGAACGAGACCUAAUCUAUGCAUUUCAUGGUAGCCGCCUAGAAAACUUCCAUUCCAUUAUCCACAAUGGCCUGCAC
RNAcentral lists this long non-coding RNA (838 nucleotides) under Homo sapiens (human). RNAcentral's name for it is "non-protein coding lnc-PARP16-2:1". The record is from RNAcentral. Lineage: Eukaryota; Metazoa; Chordata; Mammalia; Primates; Hominidae.